This 75-nucleotide transfer RNA is filed under the name Hyphomicrobiales bacterium. RNAcentral describes it as "tRNA-Ile". It matches the Rfam family "tRNA". Rfam says of the family: Transfer RNA (tRNA) molecules are approximately 80 nucleotides in length. Their secondary structure includes four short double-helical elements and three loops (D, anti-codon, and T loops). The record is from RNAcentral. Lineage: Bacteria; Pseudomonadati; Pseudomonadota; Alphaproteobacteria; Hyphomicrobiales.
GCCCAUUUAGCUUAACGGUAAAGCCGCCAGCUCAUAUCUGGUUCGAUGUGAGUUCAACUCUCACGAUGGGCACCA